GUGAAUCAUCGAAUUUUUGAACGCAAAUUGCGCUUCCUGGGAUCACGGGAAGUAUGUCUGUUUGAGGGUCAGAAUUAUUAAAAUAUUGGCUUAUCUACAAAUUGUGUCGUUUCCGGAGUUUGGAUUAUAUUACUAUUUGUGGUUAAGAGGUAUAAUAUUCAUCUUUUUUGCGCAUUUUUAAACGUACAUAAUUUUUUUUUAUUCGUCUGUUCUUAAUGCUAAUAUCUUAUUAGAUGCAAUCACGUUGU
Molecule: unclassified non-coding RNA, 248 nt
Filed under: Glomeraceae sp.
Lineage: Eukaryota; Fungi; Glomeromycota; Glomeromycetes; Glomerales; Glomeraceae
Description: partial contains 5.8S ribosomal RNA and internal transcribed spacer 2
Rfam family: 5.8S ribosomal RNA (bases 1-71)
Source: RNAcentral